Molecule: ribosomal RNA, 800 nt
Filed under: uncultured bacterium
Lineage: Bacteria
Description: bacterial SSU rRNA
Rfam family: Bacterial small subunit ribosomal RNA
Source: RNAcentral
AGAGUUUGAUCCUGGCUCAGGAUGAACGCUGGCGGCGUGCUUAACACAUGCAAGUCGAACGAAGCACAUUGGAUUGAUUCUUCGGAAGAAAGAAGAUGUGACUUAGUGGCGGACGGGUGAGUAACGCGUGGGUAACCUGCCUCACACAGGGGGAUAACAGUUGGAAACGACCGCUAAUACCGCAUAAGCCGACGAAGCCGCAUGGCCUUGCCGGAAAAGAAUUAUCGGUGUGAGAUGGACCCGCGUCUGAUUAGAUAGUUGGCAGGGUAACGGCCUACCAAGUCGACGAUCAGUAGCCGGCCUGAGAGGGUGAACGGCCACAUUGGGACUGAGACACGGCCCAAACUCCUACGGGAGGCAGCAGUGGGGAAUAUUGCACAAUGGGGGAAACCCUGAUGCAGCGACGCCGCGUGAGUGAAGAAGUAUUUCGGUAUGUAAAGCUCUAUCAGCAGGGAAGAACAUGACGGUACCUGACUAAGAAGCCCCGGCUAACUACGUGCCAGCAGCCGCGGUAAUACGUAGGGGGCAAGCGUUAUCCGGAUUUACUGGGUGUAAAGGGAGCGUAGACGGCGAAGCAAGUCAGGAGUGAAAGCCCGGGGCUUAACCGCGGGACUGCUCUUGAAACUGUUUUGCUGGAGUGCAGGAGAGGUAAGCGGAAUUCCUAGUGUAGCGGUGAAAUGCGUAGAUAUUAGGAGGAACACCAGUGGCGAAGGCGGCUUACUGGACUGUAACUGACGUUGAGGCUCGAAAGCGUGGGGAGCAAACAGGAUUAGAUACCCUGGUAGUCCACGCCGUAAACG